Molecule: long non-coding RNA, 555 nt
Organism: Sapajus apella (tufted capuchin)
Lineage: Eukaryota; Metazoa; Chordata; Mammalia; Primates; Cebidae
Exons: 3
Source: RefSeq, a predicted model, not a curated record
GGGAAGGCAGAAAAACUUGAAGACGACUUGAAGCUGGAAGGAGCUUCUGGGUCACAGAUAGGUGAGAGAGAGGAAUGCUUGCAUUCUUUGAGUUUUUGACUAGCCUUUCCAAAGGAGGCAGUCAGCUAUGCAUCUAUCUCAGUGACAGGCAGGUUGUCCCUAAGCAGUUCCCAGUUUGGCUUUUCCCUUUAGCUUAGUGAUUUAGGGGCCCCAAGAUUUAUUUUCCUUUCACACACCUAAGGGACUAAAAAUGUGAGUACAUAUACACACAGAGACACACUCCAAACUCUCUUUAUAGAAGGGCUUCCUUGUUCUUGUAUUCAUCCCUCUUCAUCCUGUUCAGGGAUGAGCUUCCUGGCUUUCACUUACCAGAGCAAGCUUGACAGUGUUGUGGGUAGGAAGCAGGCCCACCCUUUCUAUGUGUUGGUGUUCUGUGUGAUUUUCUGGGGAUGCGUGUAUGUUGUUGAGCUUUAUUUUUUAUCUAGAUUGUGUUUAUGUCAGGAGGUUGCCUGAAAUAAAACUGAAGCUUCAUAGUUUAGCCUUUAGUUGUGUUUC